UACGUAGGUCCCGAGCGUUGUCCGGAUUUAUUGGGCGUAAAGCGAGCGCAGGUUGUUUAAUAAGUCUGAUGUAAAAGGCAGUGGCUCAACAAUUGUGUGCAUUGGAAACUGUUAGACUUGAGUGCAGUAGAGGAGAGUGGAAUUCCAUGUGUAGCGGUGAAAUGCGUAGAUAUAUGGAGGAACACCGGUGGCGAAAGCGGCUCUCUGGACUGUAACUGACACUGAGGCUCGAAAGCGUGGGUAGCAAACAGG
RNAcentral lists this ribosomal RNA (252 nucleotides) under uncultured microorganism. Its description in RNAcentral is "partial 16S ribosomal RNA". It matches the Rfam family "Bacterial small subunit ribosomal RNA", at positions 524 to 776 of the family's 1533-position model. The record is from RNAcentral.